CCUACGGGAGGCUGCAGUGAGGAAUAUUGGUCAAUGGACGAGAGUCUGAACCAGCCAAGUAGCGUGAAGGAUGACUGCCCUAUGGGUUGUAAACUUCUUUUAUAUGGGAAUAAAAUGUUCCACGUGUGGGAUUUUGUAUGUACUUUAUGAAUAAGGAUCGGCUAACUCCGUGCCAGCAGCCGCGGUAAUACGUAGGGGGCAAGCGUUAUCCGGAUUUACUGGGUGUAAAGGGGGCGCAGACGGCAAUGCAAGCCAGGAGUGAAAGCCCGGGGCCCAACCCCGGGACUGCUCUUGGAACUGCAUGGCUUGAGUACAGUUGAGGUAGGCGGAAUUCGUGGGGUAGCGGUGAAAUGCUUAGAUAUCACGAAGAACUCCGAUUGCGAAGGCAGCUUACUAAACUGCCACUGACAUUGAUGCUCGAAAGUGUGGGUAUCAAACAGGAUUAGAUACCCCGGUAGUC
Molecule: ribosomal RNA, 460 nt
Filed under: uncultured bacterium
Lineage: Bacteria
Description: partial 16S ribosomal RNA
Rfam family: Bacterial small subunit ribosomal RNA
Source: RNAcentral